Topomyia yanbarensis is the source of this 1001-nucleotide long non-coding RNA. RefSeq lists it as uncharacterized. The record is from RefSeq and is a predicted model, not a curated record. NCBI's taxonomy places the organism in Eukaryota, Metazoa, Arthropoda, Insecta, Diptera, Culicidae. The transcript has 5 exons.
CGGCGACUGACAGUCCAGAGAAAGAGAAUGCGGAAAAACCUUCUAGUCCAUAGCUCCUGAAGAAAAACGAGCUGAAGCGAAUAUGGAGAAACAGCUUCCUCCACGGAAAAUGCAGAGGCAUGCAACGCGGCGGAUGCAAGUUUGCUAAUUGAAAUUAUUCGCAAAGAUCUAGUAGAAUUAAAACUGGAGGUGCUGCGAAACGAUCCUUUUUCGACGCUAUACUCGGUUAAAACUAUCGACGCUUUGCACUUGAUGCCGGAACUGCCCACCCCGAGAGCAGAUGAGCGCUGGGGAAUGUUUUCAGCCACCUGGAGGAGGAAGUUCAGCGCGGAAGAAAUGUUACCAGACUUCGCCGAUCUGGUAUCUGGACUUUUUUGAUGAUCUCAUAGAGAUUGGGUGUGCAGAUGGGCGGUUGGAGUUUUGGGAGAGAACGACUGGUAACUUUAAGGGUAUAUAUGAAGCCGAAAACACCCACAACGAUGGGGUAACUAACAUAGUGACAAAGUGAUAGUCGCACGGUUGAGUGGAGGAAUCGAUUUUCUGAAACUGGAAACGUACACGCAAGGUUUUCAGAUCGAUUGGGGAUUUACGUCUGCAUAUGGGCGAACCCACGUACGCAGCGGUUCGGCAGGAAGCAUUAGUUUAUUUCAGCAACUCGCCGGCUCAAAUCCGUCCACAGCGUUGCCAGCUCAACAUCACGCAUCCGAGGAGGAGCUUCGAUGUAUCCUGGAGUUUCACCAGCAGGGUCACCGGUGACAUGUUUGGAAGUGGCGGGCGGUACAGUCAUUACUGGCAGCCAGGGCCACACUGUUAACGUGUUCCGGCUUGAUAGCCACCUAUUGCAGUUCACCCUAAACGGCCAUUGCGGUCCUAUCACAUGUAUUUUCAUAGACCAGUGGCAGGCCGAGAUGGGCGCAUCUGGUUGCCAGGAUGGUGUGCUAUGUGUGUGGGACUUGAUACGGGGUGCCUGUAUGUACAAAAUUGAAGCCCAUGACGACAUG